AGCGGCGCUACUUCCGGACACGUGAUCCACCGCGAGGCCGUAAAGACGGGAAGAGCGGCGCGGCGCGAUUAUGAGCACAGAUGUUUCGUUUCUGACAAAUAAUGCACCACACGACACACAUGAGUCGUUUGUGUCCCGGGUCCACGCCGUUGUCCUUCCCUCCCUGCGGCUGAGCAGGCGGCGCGGGGCGAUGACAUGUCUCCCGCUCAGAGAGACGUGAGCGAGACAUCGCCAACGACACCUGGCAGGAAGCGGAGAGACGGCUUGAAUACGAUCAGCGUCCCUCUGGCUCUAAGAUCUGACCUGGAAGCAGCCGCUGGACGCACCUGAGACUCCUGCAGCAGAGACACGUCUCCAACGGCUGAGAGGACCUCAUGGGCCUGCAGGAAGUAUUCACACGCCGUGGUGUACUGGCUCUACGGGGGGAGACAGAAACAUACACAUUCAUACACUUCUAUGUAUGUAUGUGUAUAUAUAUAUAUAUAUAUAUAUAUGUAUAUUCAUACACUUCUAGUUACAUCACAUAUAUAUAUAUUGAUAUUAUAUAUAUGGUCAACAUGAUAUUCCUUUUUUACACAAUGUACAAAAAUAUGAGUCUUUCCAACAGAAAUAUAACAAAGACAAAUAUGUAUUAGCACGAGUAAAUAUUGUAUUGGAAAUAAAUAUAUAACUAAUGUACAGAAAAACAGACAUUGACGGAAAAAAACAAUUUUUAGCUGUGACAUUUCAACAUGAAACCAAUGUGUAACUAUUGAGUAACAGCUUCAAUGAUUAAUGUGUGUGUGUGUGUGUGUGUGUGUGUGUGUGUGUGCGUGUGUGUGUGUGUGUCGUACCUUCUUGAAGUAGACGUGACCCAGACACAUGAGGCUGUCUGCCAGGGCGUGUUCCCGCCCGCUGCCUCGAGAGAUGACGACCAACUUCUCCAGUAACUGGAGUCCUUCAUAGAUGCAGCCAUAGCCUUGUAGGACUUCCCCAGCCAGUCUGCAUCCUGCAGCUCGUCACUGAUCUGGAUGCAGGAGUUGAAGAACUGGACACACACACACACACACACACACACACACACAGGAAGUCGUGUUAAACUGCAUAAAAGAAUAAUAAAUAAUCUUACAGGAAAAGAACAACAAUGUACCCGGUAACAAGGGUUGUGUGUGUAUCACCAUGAACACACACAGACACACACACACCUUCUUGGCCUGGUCGUGGUCUCCUGCGCUCUGAUAGGUCAGGCCCAGUCGAUAGGAGGCUUCUGAUUCGCUGCGUUUGUCUUCAGCUGAAACACAUUCGCAGUAAACGAACAAACAUCAGGACAUUUAUUAAAGUAAAAGUACACUAAAGUAUUUCACUGUGUUCUUAUACUUUUAGAGUUUCAUUCAAAUGACAUUAAAUAAAAUGUAAGUUUAUUGAAAUACUAUUUCUAAUACUUCAGGAGUUUAUAAAGAGUGUUUUUUUAUAAGUGAAGUUUUCGCUGGAAUCUGAAUUUCGAAUACUUCCAGUAGUAUUCUAGUGGGGUGAAAGUAUACGUAAUACACCAUUUUAAUAAAGUAGACUAGGUGUUUUUGGUACUUACAGAUUGUGUAUCAAGCAGUGAAAAGUAGACUAAAUGGAAAAUACUUCAGUGCGGUAACAGUUACUUCAGAGUUGUUCCCUGCAAAUACACGUACUUUAUCUAGUAUUUUAAUAUUGGUAUGUGAAAUGUAAGUGGAAUGUUUACUUGAAUGAAACACUCGUAGUACACGUAUACUCGCGUGUACUCCCGUGUCCUUGGACCCACACUCAGCAGCGGCUCUGAGGCCCUCGUGCAGCAGCCGCAGGGCCUCGGCGGGCUGCGCCGCGUCCGCCAGCCGGCUGCAG
Gasterosteus aculeatus aculeatus (three-spined stickleback) is the source of this 1851-nucleotide non-coding RNA. Lineage: Eukaryota; Metazoa; Chordata; Actinopteri; Perciformes; Gasterosteidae. The record is from RefSeq and is a predicted model, not a curated record.